UGUUUGCUGUGAUGGUUCUUGCAAGGACAGUAUCUGAGUAAGGAAUCACUUAAAAGAGUGCUCCUUACAUGAUUAUAUCUACCAAUACUGAUCAGAGAUUCUGGGUGUAAAUU
Molecule: small nucleolar RNA, 113 nt
Filed under: Leersia perrieri
Lineage: Eukaryota; Viridiplantae; Streptophyta; Magnoliopsida; Poales; Poaceae
Description: snoRNA snoZ118
Rfam family: Small nucleolar RNA Z118/Z121/Z120
About the family: This family consists of several snoRNA Z118, Z121 and Z120 sequences which are members of the C/D class of snoRNA which contain the C (UGAUGA) and D (CUGA) box motifs. This family seems to be found exclusively in rice. C/D box small nucleolar RNAs are known to act as a methylation guides for 18S ribosomal RNA in plants.
Source: Rfam by way of RNAcentral